UACGUAGGAGGCAAGCGUUGUCCGGAAUUACUGGGUGUAAAGCGCGUGUAGGCGGCAGGCCAAGUCUGUGGUGAAAUCGCUCGGCUCAACUGGGCGGGGUCCAUGGAAACUGGUCAGCUGGAGGACGGUAGAGGUGAGUGGAAUUCCCGGUGUAGCGGUGAAAUGCGUAGAGAUUGGGAAGAACACCGGUGGCGAAAGCGCUCUACUGGGCCUGCACUGACACUGAGGGACGAAAGCUAGGGGAGCGAAAGGG
Molecule: ribosomal RNA, 253 nt
Filed under: uncultured bacterium
Lineage: Bacteria
Description: partial 16S ribosomal RNA
Rfam family: Bacterial small subunit ribosomal RNA
Source: RNAcentral